Molecule: long non-coding RNA, 3554 nt
Organism: Sapajus apella (tufted capuchin)
Lineage: Eukaryota; Metazoa; Chordata; Mammalia; Primates; Cebidae
Exons: 2
Source: RefSeq, a predicted model, not a curated record
UUUGCCUGCCAGCUGUUUUUUGCUUUUAUUGUCAAUGUUUAUUUAGUACUAUUUGCUGGUCUUUCUUCUUUUACCCUUAUAAAAGUGUAAGCUGAAGUGAACAGUGUGAGGCUAUAAGCAGGGAGGCAGUGAGACAAGAUGUUCAUUGGCAAUGCAUUCGGCUACAAGUAACAGACAACAAACUGUAGCUCAAAAGGUUACUUUUUUCCUACAAAAAGAGGGUCGGAAGCAGCUUCCGCAACGAUGCUGCCAGGAACCCAGGCUCUGUCAACUUUUUCUUCCACCAUCCUUGGAGGAAAGUCACCUUCAUGCUCUUUCAUCCUCUGAAAAGUGGUAGUGCUCCUAGAAUUUAACAGCCAGUUUCUGCCAAUAUUUUAUUCAUCAGAACAAUGCCACAGAUCCCUCUGGUUGGAACGCGUUCUUUUGGGCUGUCUAACAACACAGGAAGGAAAUGGAGAAAGCCUGGGAGGGAAUGAAAAUCAAAAUCAUUCAGUGAAUCAAUAUCAUCAGGGGUUGAACAAAGGUGGGACAGUAAAAACGAAAAGGAAAUAAAGGAUAUAAUUGAUGUGUGAGGAGUUAACAUGUAAAAUUAGCAGCCAAACAAAAAAGAGGCAUCAAAGAUGAUGAAGUUUCCCUUUUAAAUAGGUGUAAUUCAGUUUAAAUAACAUACAGUUAAAAAGAAAUGUGGAUACAUACCUUUAAACUAUAAAUAUUAGUGGAUUUUUAAUCCUUUUAUAUGCAUAUUAUAUUCUGUUUUAAUCAUCAUAAGCACAAAUGUCUAUCUUGCUUUUCUAUUUUUAUUGACGUCUCAAAUUUGAAAUAUGUUAGUUGCCACCUCUACAUCAAAAAUAAUUCUAUGUAUGUAGCAUUUUUUUAUAAUUUGUAUUUACUCUUUGGGUUAUAUUUCCAGAAGUGUGAAUAGUGAAUCAAAACAUAGGGAUAGAUUUUCUUUGAUGUUGUUAUUGUGCCAUAGCAUAAAAUUGCUUGCCAACUGGUACUAAACUGUGAAUGAUUUUCAACUAAGAUAAUUUGGUAAGGUGGACAGAAAUCUGAGAGAUAAGAGGAGGGGGAAUGUUUUGAAGUAGAGCAUGGUGAUUUACUUUGGCUUGGACAUAUUCAGUUCAAGUUGAUGGUGGAAUACCAGUUUGUAAUAAUUCAGCAAGUAGCUUGACGUGCAAAACUGUUUUUCCUGAAAGUCAUUAAUUAUCACAGUUGAUAUUGAUGAGAAAUUGUAGAGGCGAUUUUGAUAUCAAAUAUAAUCCUUAAGGAAAACAAUCAUAGGAAUGAAGACAGUAAAAUAUAAAUUAUUCUUAGGGGAAGAAAGGAAGAAGAAGGAUAGCCCACAAAUGAGGGAGAGAAAGAAGCAUUAAGAAACAAGUCAAUGAGCAGUCGGUGUAUUUGGGAAGGAGGCAGUGGUCUUCAAUGUCAAAUGCAGAAUGAAUGGGCAUGAGAAGCAAGCAGGAAGGAAUUGGAUUAUAAGCCAAUGAUGCAAAAAUUCUCGUGGCCCAGUAGCUCCCUCCUCACCAAGGGUUCAGCUACAGACACCCAUUAAGGCUCCUUGUUCCAGACACCUACUUCUAUCCUAAAUCUACCUAAGACUUCCAGAUCAUCUGCUGUGUAUCCCUUCCUGGUUCACUUCCCAUUGUCUUAGAUUGGACCUGAGGACUCUGUCCUCUUUACCCUGCAAUGUCCUUCCUCCCUCAGGGAUCCCAUUCCAUUUUCCUGCACAUUUUGUCUCCUGAGAGCCAAACAUUCCUCAGGCUUCCUUCUCCCUGCUUCUCUUCUUGCAGUAAGAGAGAUCAGACAGGAGUGACUUCACAAAGGAGUAGGAACAGAAUGAUGGGAAUGUAAAAGCACACUCUAGGAUGCUUGGGGAGUGAGCAGUGCGGAAGUAGAGACCUUUUCAAUCAGCCAACACUGUGGCUUGGAACACCAACAGAGCACAGCAUGGCGGAGGGUACAGAGUCCUUAUAAAAACAGCCACAUCCACACACAACAACUUUCUUUACCAUACAAGGCAAAAUAAAACACAAAUAUGAUUGUCCUUACAUUUGACGGUUUGAAACAGCCUAGGAAAAAUUAAGGUUUGAGUCUAGCGUUUCUAUAAAUAUAAAUACUUAAAUAAUUUAGGAGGCACAUCAACGCAUUGUAGGUAUCUAAUCUCAUUGAGAUACCCCCACCUCAGUCCCCACCCUGGUUUGCAGAUUGAUUACUCUGGUGUCGCUGGGUCUUAUUUAUCAGUGUUUUGGGUAUUCGUAUAUGGUGAUUCUGGACAUUGUCCUAAAUGUAGCAAAUCACUCCAAAUACUUCCUCUCUGUUUUAGUUAGCUAGAAAAAUCUAUGCACUGCAAAAUUUAAUGGAAAAUGCAAUUUAGUCUCUUUUUUCCCGUAAAUGUCAAGCACUUAGAUAUUUGGAAAUGCCUAACAUCAACUUAAUUUCCUGCUAUUCCUUCAGACAUUUGGGAUCACACAGCCAUGACCACAGACACAGUAUUAUAUUACAAGAGUGGCUGCAGUUCCUGAACAACAGCUGACUCUCAUAUGGGACCUUAGCCCAGGCUCCAUUGCAUACAGGUUUGGAGCCACUCCCACGGUGGCUCACUGGGCUUCUGCAUGCUCUAGCUCUUUAGGGUAGAGUUGGCUUGAAACUUCUAGGGCACAACUUCAAGGCUGUACCUAAAAAUCAUUUUUUUUCAGAGGGUGCCAUUUUGUGUUCUGUACAAUUUAUUUGUGGGCUUCUCAGAAUUGGUUGGCAGUUUAUGUAAUAUCCCUGCAAUAAUGGGAGGCAAUUACUUUCUGAAAACAAGACCUGUGAUUAUCCCAGCAGCAUGGCCUGGAUUCCCUUUGCAAAGGACAGGCUUCCACUUCCACAGAGGCUUCAAGUGAUUCCUGAAAAUGCCCACCACACUCAGAAGCAGAAAUGUUCUCUCAUGCUUGGAACUCCUGACGCAGACAGCAGGAUUUCAGCCUUGGGACUAUGGACACUGUGGGCCAGAUGAUUCUUUGUUGUGGGACUGUCCAGUGAAUUGUGGGAUAUUUAGUAGCACCCAUUGCCUCUACCCACUAGAUCCCAGUUAUGAUAACUAAAAAUAUCUCCAGACAUUGCCAGGCAUCCUGGGUGUGGGUGGGCACAAAAUCACUCUCUAAUGAGAAGCACUGGAGCUGUAUAGACAUUUAGUCCCCAAACCUCUAACUCAGACCCAGGAUCUUCUUCGAAAUUAUCUUCAUGCUGCUUACACUGUGUGCCCAGCUCCAGGUCUAGGCCCGAAUAUAAACAAGAAUAGCUUCCUUCUACUGCCUUCUUUGAUGCAGAGUAUUCAAAUCCCAAAGAGCAAGGAGCUGCCUGGGCCUCUCUUAUCUUGCAUCGUCAUUGCUUCUGCCUGAAAUUUUGGACCUUUUCUUAGGAGAGAGCAUCAACUAGAACCAGGGAAAAGCAAUUAUUGAGUGCCUGCUGUAUACUGAGCACUGUUCUGGAUGCUUCAGAAUCAGCCCUAAAUUCUUGCCCUCAUGGGGCUUUCAUUAUAGUGGGGAGGCUAAAAAUAAACAAAAUUAAGU